UCCAAGUCUAAGUUCAAGAUCUAAUUCUUUGACGGGAUAAUAAUUACGACGCUCACCGACAAAUCCCUGACGAUCACCACCCAAAUCUCCUUCAUUUGCAUCUUCUUCGCCAAGUAAGCAAUACGUAACGUCUGCAUGAUUACCGGUAAUUUGCUUCUUCUCUUUUUCCCGAUCAUCACGGCAAAACUUUCCCAUCUUGAGAUUGGAUCCUUCCGGUGCAUAUGGAAGAACGGACCGCUUACGAAUAUUGUCUUGCAGAAUCAUCCUAGAAGCAUGAGCCGGCGAGAAAGGUAACGAGGCGACGAAGCUGAUCUUGGGGGGAGUGUGAUUAUACACCGCAAUCGGUGAGCAUGCAGGAUGUUGGAGAGAGGUAGUGAUAUUAUCAGUCGUAGUUGUGUUGCUAUCUUGUUGAACUUGUCUGAGCCGUGCUCGAUCUCGUCUGUGAACGUUCAUAUGUCCACCAAGCGCCUGUGCAGAUUGAAACUCUCUUUUGCAGAAACUACAAGCAUAUGAUCUAGGUGGCCAAACGCAGCUACCGAAACCACCACCGGAAGAGUUAUCUGCAAAAGCCCUCUCUUUCCAAUUGGUAUCAUCC
Molecule: long non-coding RNA, 595 nt
Filed under: Zostera marina
Lineage: Eukaryota; Viridiplantae; Streptophyta; Magnoliopsida; Alismatales; Zosteraceae
Description: long non-coding RNA (ZMAR_LNC006013)
Source: RNAcentral